UGUCAAAGGGAAACAACUCUAACAUAAAUCUUGUCAAUGAAAAACUAUAUAUACACAAUAAUUCAUUUUCAAAAAUGUUACAGUUAUCAGCAUAAAUAUGAUAACCUCCUGAAGUAACAGAAUUCUGUUUAUUUUCUGUUAAUUAAUAUUUGAUAAGAAAUCACAGAAGAAAUGCCCCAAAUCCAAACACUUGUAUGAGGGUCUAUUUGGUCCUUCAUUUUUGUAUUCUUUAAUGUUUAGGCCAUUUUUUAUAUUCUUUGUACUUUUUGCCAAUUUUUCUUUUUUCUUUACAUAUUAGCACCUCAUAAUUUCCUUUUAUAUUUUAGCACCUGAUUUUCUUCUAUUGUUUAUUUUUUUGGUCCUUUGUUCUCUGAUUCUUAAUAUUUUUUACCCAUUAUUCUCUAUUCUGUAAACCCCAAUCUACACCCUAUAGUAUAUUCUCGGAUGAUAAUUAUCAAUUAAGGAUUGCUGGUUCUAAAAACUUAAGUCAGAUAUCAAAUCUCACCCAUGUUUCAAUAGAACUUACACUAACAGUACUAAUUUUACUACUAUGCAUAUUUCGCCAAUAAAUAUUUCUUCAGUGCUGCCCUCUCAUCACCUUUUAAAAAUCAUGGAUCCACCCAUGGCAGUCUAUAAAUUUUUUAUUAUGUUAGUUUUAUAAAUGUACAACAAAAUAUAAACAGUUGAUAUGUAACAUUCAUUUCAUUAUGAAAUAGAAGCACUUAUUCAGGCCCAAUACCAAAGGAUAUACUAAAAAGAAGUACAUAUUUCAAACAAAAUAGUUCCUACACACAGC
RNAcentral lists this long non-coding RNA (796 nucleotides) under Mytilus galloprovincialis (Mediterranean mussel). The record is from RNAcentral. Lineage: Eukaryota; Metazoa; Mollusca; Bivalvia; Mytilida; Mytilidae.